GGGGGGUGACUAGUUAGGGAGGGGGUGACUAGUGACAGAAUGAUGGAGGGGAUGACUAGUGACAGAGGGAGGGGUAACACUGUGACUAGUCACCCCAUCCCUCCCUCUGUCACUAGUCACCCCCUCCCUCACACUGUCACUAGUC
Molecule: non-coding RNA, 145 nt
Organism: Pelobates cultripes (western spadefoot toad)
Lineage: Eukaryota; Metazoa; Chordata; Amphibia; Anura; Pelobatidae
Source: the annotation of a GenBank genome assembly